CAUUGGGCUCGUUUCAUGUCCCGCUUGUGUGGAAACUAGAGCAGGUGAAGUGAAGUGACGGUAUUUCAUCACCUGACCAGAGCUACCUCGCGCCUCUGACCCGCCCACCCUUCACGCGCAGACGGAUAAUGUCCACGCUUUUAUUUUAUUGGGUGUUUAUAUGUUAAGAGACUUCGGCUCAUAGCUACUCCACAUUCCUUCGACAACCAUGUAAGCAAUGUAACCAGACCAACCGCAUUGUGGCAGAUGUGAUAAGAUUACAUGAGCUCUUGCUCCUCCUGGAAUGUGAGCGGUCCCAUGCAGAUAGCACACAGGUUCCCCAUCAGUCUGAAGCACAGUGAGCAGUAACGGCCUGUGAAAGGAAAUAAAUUUGCCCAGCGGCACUUUCCCACAGGCCAUGCAUGAUUCUUUAUCGAUAUCCAGGAGCCUGGCUAUGAUAACACCCCCUGGCAGGCUGUAAUAAGGAUGGUACCUGGCACACACAAACCUCUGUAAACGUUUGACGUAGCCACCAGCAAUCACAAUAAACAGCGUGAAGCCAUAAAGAAGACCUUUGUUUGGAGGGAAGACAAGACAGGAUGUCAAAUGAGGCUGCAAUGUCCCUAAAGAUAUCUGAGGCGUAACCAGAUCCAUUCACUUGUACUGCAACCACUACAGGAGCUGGAGGUGAACAAAAAUGGAAGUACAUACUGGAGAUACAUGAAGAGAAGCAGGAAGAAACCCAUGUAUGCAAGUAGGACCUUGAGCUCCUGGAGGAGGCCCAGCUGUUCAGACACUUCCUCCAUGAUCUCCUGAGCAGCGUCCUGCAUGGACUGACUGUUGUUCAGAAGCAGGUCAAAGUUGAUGGAGGUGAAUCUCAGAAGAUGAGUUUUACUUACGAAAAGCCAAAGCAGUCUUCAUGUGGUCAGCAAUAUAUGAUGGUAAGAUGCAGAACAGCUGUCCCACUGUGGGAAACGUCCAUAAAAAAGGCAUUAAUUAAAAACAUUUGUGAAAAUAGCUUCUUCUAAAAAUCCUUUUAGUGAUGAUAUGCAGUUUUUCAAGUUAUUUCAAGUUAUUGACAAAAGCAUUGCACUAAACACCAGAACUGCUCCAUGAGGCUGUAUAGCUUUCAUUUUAGUGCUGAUUUAGCACUGUUGCUAGAGGUUAUGUUUGGAUUUGCAGUCAGAUUUGUGAUUUGCAGAUUUGCAGUCAGCCUGUUGAGUAAUGUUAGAGAUGCAUACACAUGGGAACACCACUACCCCUCUUCAUACUGUAACAUUUAGGGUACUUAAACGUGACAAACUGCUCCCACAAGAACACUUAUUGAAAAUAAACUGUAUAUAUUGAGCAUGUGAGAAUAAACAGUACUUAGGAGCCUCUGUCGCAGGAACCGUUUGUCUCAGUUUCUGCAUUGGCAGAAUAGAUCAAAUAUACUAAAAUAUAAUGAAACCAAAUCACUGUGACGCAGAAAAUAAUGCACCGUGGCUAUAUGGCUUCCUGUAAAGAGUGUAAUGACAGGGCUUUCAAGGGACUAAU
This is a long non-coding RNA of Ctenopharyngodon idella (grass carp), 1515 nucleotides long. RefSeq lists it as uncharacterized. Lineage: Eukaryota; Metazoa; Chordata; Actinopteri; Cypriniformes; Xenocyprididae. The record is from RefSeq and is a predicted model, not a curated record. The transcript is spliced from 8 exons.